Molecule: ribosomal RNA, 2901 nt
Filed under: Escherichia coli
Lineage: Bacteria; Pseudomonadati; Pseudomonadota; Gammaproteobacteria; Enterobacterales; Enterobacteriaceae
Description: 23S ribosomal RNA
Rfam family: Bacterial large subunit ribosomal RNA
Source: RNAcentral
GGGUUGUGAGGUUAAGCGACUAAGCGUACACGGUGGAUGCCCCGGCAGUCAGAGGCGAUGAAGGACGUGCUAAUCUGCGAUAAGCGUCGGUAAGGUGAUAUGAACCGUUAUAACCGGCGAUUUCCGAAUGGGGAAACCCAGUGUGAUUCGUCACACUAUCAUUAACUGAAUCCAUAGGUUAAUGAGGCGAACCGGGGAACUGAAACAUCUAAGUACCCCGAGGAAAAGAAAUCAACCGAGAUUCCCCAGUAGCGGCGAGCGAACGGGGAGGAGCCCAGAGCCUGAAUCAGUGUGUGUGUUAGUGGAAGCGUCUGGAAAGGCGCGCGAUACAGGGUGACAGCCCCGUACACAAAAUGCAUGCUGUGAGCUCGAUGAGUAGGGCGGGACACGUGGUAUCCUGUCUGAAUAUGGGGGACCAUCCUCCAAGGCUAAAUACUCCUGACUGACCGAUAGUGAACCAGUACCGUGAGGGAAAGGCGAAAAGAACCCCGGCGAGGGAGUGAAAAGAACCUGAAACCGUGUACGUACAAGCAGUGGGAGCCUCUUAAUGGGGUGACUGCGUACCUUUGUAUAAUGGGUCAGCGACUUAUAUUCUGUAGCAAGGUUAACCGAAUAGGGGAGCCGAAGGGAAACCGAGUCUUAACUGGGCGUUAAGUUGCAGGGUAUAGACCCGAAACCCGGUGAUUAGCCAUGGGCAGGUUGAAGGUUGGGUAACACUAACUGGAGGACCGAACCGACUAAUGUUGAAAAAUUAGCGGAUGACUUGUGGCUGGGGUGAAAGGCCAAUCAAACCGGGAGAUAGCUGGUUCUCCCGAAAGCUAUUUAGGUAGCGCCUCGUGAAUUCAUCUCCGGGGUAGAGCACUGUUUCGGCAAGGGGUCAUCCCGACUUACCAACCCGAUGCAAACUGCGAAUACCGGAGAAUGUUAUCACGGGAGACACACGGCGGGUGCUAACGUCCGUCGUGAAGAGGGAAACAACCCAGACCGCCAGCUAAGGUCCCAAAGUCAUGGUUAAGUGGGAAACGAUGUGGGAAGGCCCAGACAGCCGGAUGUUGGCUUAGAAGCAGCCAUCAUUUAAAGAAAGCGUAAUAGCUCACUGGUCGAGUCGGCCUGCGCGGAAGAUGUAACGGGGCUAAACCAUGCACCGAAGCUGCGGCAGCGACACUAUGUGUUGUUGGGUAGGGGAGCGUUCUGUAAGCCUGUGAAGGUGGCCUGUGAGGGUUGCUGGAGGUAUCAGAAGUGCGAAUGCUGACAUAAGUAACGAUAAAGCGGGUGAAAAGCCCGCUCGCCGGAAGACCAAGGGUUCCUGUCCAACGUUAAUCGGGGCAGGGUGAGUCGACCCUAAGGCGAGGCCGAAAGGCGUAGUCGAUGGGAAACAGGUUAAUAUUCCUGUACUUGGUGUUACUGCGAAGGGGACGGAGAAGGCUAUGUUGGUCGGGCGACGGUUGUCCCGGUUUAAGCGUGUAGGCUGGUUUUCCGUGCAAAUCCGGAAAACCAAGGCUGAGGCGUGAUGACGAGGCACUACGGUGCUGAAGUGACAAAUGCCCUGCUUCCGUGAAAAGCCUCUAAGCAUCAGGUAACAUCAAAUCGUACCCCAAACCGACACAGGUGGUCAGGUAGAGAAUACCAAGGCGCUUGAGAGAACUCGGGUGAAGGAACUAGGCAAAAUGGUGCCGUAACUUCGGGAGAAGGCACGCUGAUAUGUAGGUGAAGCGACUUGCUCGUGGAGCUGAAAUCAGUCGAAGAUACCAGCUGGCUGCAACUGUUUAUUAAAACACAGCACUGUGCAAACACGAAAGUGGACGUAUACGGUGUGACGCCUGCCCGGUGCCGGAAGGUUAAUUGAUGGGGUUAGCGGUAACGCGAAGCUCUUGAUCGAAGCCCCGGUAAACGGCGGCCGUAACUAUAACGGUCCUAAGGUAGCGAAAUUCCUUGUCGGGUAAGUUCCGACCUGCACGAAUGGCGUAAUGAUGGCCGGCUGUCUCCACCCGAGACUCAGUGAAAUUGAACUCGCUGUGAAGAUGCAGUGUACCCGCGGCAAGACGGAAAGACCCCGUGAACCUUUACUAUAGCUUGACACUGAACAUUGAGCCUUGAUGUGUAGGAUAGGUGGGAGGCUUUGAAGUGUGGACGCCAGUCUGCAUGGAGCCGACCUUGAAAUACCACCCUUUAAUGUUUGAUGUUCUAACGUUGGCCCCUAAUCGGGGUUGCGGACAGUGUCUGGUGGGUAGUUUGACUGGGGCGGUCUCCUCCUAAAGAGUAACGGAGGAGCACGAAGGUUGGCUAAUCGGUCGGACAUCAGGAGGUUAGUGCAAUGGCAUAAGCCAGCUUGACUGCGAGCGUGACGGCGCGAGCAGGUGCGAAAGCAGGUCAUAGUGAUCCGGUGGUUCUGAAUGGAAGGGCCAUCGCUCAACGGAUAAAAGGUACUCCGGGGAUAACAGGCUGAUACCGCCCAAGAGUUCAUAUCGACGGCGGUGUUUGGCACCUCGAUGUCGGCUCAUCACAUCCUGGGGCUGAAGUAGGUCCCAAGGGUAUGGCUGUUCGCCAUUUAAAGUGGUACGCGAGCUGGGUUUAGAACGUCGUGAGACAGUUCGGUCCCUAUCUGCCGUGGGCGCUGGAGAACUGAGGGGCUGCUCCUAGUACGAGAGGACCGGAGUGGACGCAUCACUGGUGUUCGGGUUGUCAUGCCAAUGGCACUGCCCGGUAGCUAAAUGCGGAAGAGAUAAGUGCUGAAAGCAUCUAAGCACGAAACUUGCCCCGAGAUGAGUUCUCCCUGAGACUUAGAGUCUCCUGAAGGAACGUUGAAGACGACGACGUUGAUAGGCCGGGUGUGUAAGCGCAGCGAUGCGUUGAGCUAACCGGUACUAAUGAACCGUGAGGCUUAACCUUACAACGCCGAAG